Molecule: ribosomal RNA, 747 nt
Filed under: bacterium WP3ISO18
Lineage: Bacteria
Description: bacterial SSU rRNA
Rfam family: Bacterial small subunit ribosomal RNA
Source: RNAcentral
GGCGGCAGGCCUAACACAUGCAAGUCGAGCGGAAACGAGUUAUCUGAACCUUCGGGGAACGAUAACGGCGUCGAGCGGCGGACGGGUGAGUAAUGCCUAGGAAAUUGCCCUGAUGUGGGGGAUAACCAUUGGAAACGAUGGCUAAUACCGCAUGAUGCCUACGGGCCAAAGAGGGGGACCUUCGGGCCUCUCGCGUCAGGAUAUGCCUAGGUGGGAUUAGCUAGUUGGUGAGGUAAGGGCUCACCAAGGCGACGAUCCCUAGCUGGUCUGAGAGGAUGAUCAGCCACACUGGAACUGAGACACGGUCCAGACUCCUACGGGAGGCAGCAGUGGGGAAUAUUGCACAAUGGGCGCAAGCCUGAUGCAGCCAUGCCGCGUGUGUGAAGAAGGCCUUCGGGUUGUAAAGCACUUUCAGUCGUGAGGAAGGCGGGGUCGUUAAUAGCGUCUUCGUUUGACGUUAGCGACAGAAGAAGCACCGGCUAACUCCGUGCCAGCAGCCGCGGUAAUACGGAGGGUGCGAGCGUUAAUCGGAAUUACUGGGCGUAAAGCGCAUGCAGGUGGUUUGUUAAGUCAGAUGUGAAAGCCCGGGGCUCAACCUCGGAAUAGCAUUUGAAACUGGCAGACUAGAGUACUGUAGAGGGGGGUAGAAUUUCAGGUGUAGCGGUGAAAUGCGUAGAGAUCUGAAGGAAUACCGGUGGCGAAGGCGGCCCCCUGGACAGAUACUGACACUCAGAUGCGAAAGCGUGG